RNAcentral lists this ribosomal RNA (508 nucleotides) under uncultured bacterium. RNAcentral describes it as "bacterial SSU rRNA". It matches the Rfam family "Bacterial small subunit ribosomal RNA", at positions 21 to 518 of the family's 1533-position model. The record is from RNAcentral.
GGCUCAGGAUGAACGCUAGCUACAGGCUUAACACAUGCAAGUCGAGGGGCAGCAUUAUCGAAGCUUGCUUGAUAGAUGGCGACCGGCGCACGGGUGAGUAACGCGUAUCCAACCUUCCCAUCACUCAGGGAUAGCCCGCCGAAAGGCGAAUUAAUACCUGAUGGUCUCCUUCGCGGACAUCUAACGAGGAGUAAAGAUUUAUUGGUGAUGGAUGGGGAUGCGUCUGAUUAGGUAGUAGGCGGGGUAACGGCCCACCUAGCCGACGAUCAGUAGGGGUUCUGAGAGGAAGGUCCCCCACAUUGGAACUGAGACACGGUCCAAACUCCUACGGGAGGCAGCAGUGAGGAAUAUUGGUCAAUGGACGGAAGUCUGAACCAGCCAAGUAGCGUGCAAGGAUGACGGCCCUAUGGGUUGUAAACUGCUUUUGUGCGGGAAUAAAGUAUGGGACGUGUCCCAUUUUGCAUGUACCGCACGAAUAAGGACCGGCUAAUUCCGUGCCAGCAGCCGC